CGGGUGAGUAACACGUGGAUAACCUACCUAUAAGACUGGGAUAACUUCGGGAAACCGGAGCUAAUACCGGAUAAUAUUUUGAACCGCAUGGUUCAAAAGUGAAAGACGGUCUUGCUGUCACUUAUAGAUGGAUCCGCGCUGCAUUAGCUAGUUGGUAAGGUAACGGCCUACCAAGGCAACGAUGCAUAGCCGACCUGAGAGGGUGAUCGGCCACACUGGAACUGAGACACGGUCCAG
Molecule: ribosomal RNA, 237 nt
Filed under: uncultured Staphylococcus sp.
Lineage: Bacteria; Bacillati; Bacillota; Bacilli; Caryophanales; Staphylococcaceae
Description: partial 16S ribosomal RNA
Rfam family: Bacterial small subunit ribosomal RNA
Source: RNAcentral